GUUGCUUUGGUGGUUGAUCUUUUUGGGACUGACGCAUUUGAUGUUGCUAGAGAAUUUAACGUCUCGCCGUACAUAUUUUUCCCUUCAACAGCCAUGGCCUUGUCUCUGUUUUUUCACCUGCCAAAGCUUGAUCAAAUGGUUUCAUGUGAGUACAGGGACCUGCCAGAACCGGUGACAAUACCAGGUUGCAUACCAAUUCACGGGAAAGAAUUGCUGGACCCAGUUCAAGACAGGAAAAACGAUGCUUACAAGUGGCUU
Molecule: long non-coding RNA, 258 nt
Filed under: Durio zibethinus
Lineage: Eukaryota; Viridiplantae; Streptophyta; Magnoliopsida; Malvales; Malvaceae
Description: long non-coding RNA (DZIB_LNC000508)
Source: RNAcentral